AUGCCGCCGCCGCCGCCGCUGGCCCGGGCUGCUCGGCGCGGGCUACUCCUCCUCCUCGUCCUGCAUUGCUGCUGGGGCACCCUCCUAUCGGCGGCCAGCGCCGCCCACGUCCACGCGGCGGGCGACGGCGUCAUCAUCAGCCAGGCCGACUACCAGGGCCUGCAGGCCAUCAAGCACGACCUCGCCGACCCCUACGGCUUCCUCCGCUCCUGGAACGACACCGGCAUCGGCGCCUGCUCCGGCCACUGGACCGGCAUCAAGUGCGUCAACGGCAGCGUCGUCGCCAUCACGCUCCCCUGGCGCGGCCUCGGCGGCCGCCUCUCCGACCGCAUCGGCCAGCUCACGGGGCUCCGCCGCCUCAGCAUCCACGACAACGCCAUCGCCGGCGCCAUCCCCGCCGCCCUCGGCUUCCUCCCCGACCUCCGCGGCCUCUACCUGUUCAACAACCGCUUCUCCGGCGCCGUCCCGCCGGAGAUCGGCCGCUGCGUCGCGCUGCAGUCCCUGGACGCCAGCAACAACCGCCUCACCGGCGUCCUCCCGGCAUCGCUCGCCAACUCCACCAAGCUCAUCCGCCUCAACCUCAGCCGCAACUCCAUCUCCGGCGAGAUCCCGGCCGAGGUCGCGGCCUCACAGUCCCUCCUCUUCCUCGACCUGUCCUACAACAAGCUCUCCGGCCGCAUCCCGGAUGCCUUCGCGGGCGGCUCCAAGGCGCCGUCGUCGGCCUCCUCCGACGAGCGGAAAUUAGAAGCCAUCACCGGGACCUACCAGCUCGUCUUUCUCAGCCUCGCGCACAACACGCUCGACGGGCCAGUGCCGGAGUCGCUCGCGGGGCUCACCAAGCUGCAGGACCUCAACCUCUCCGGCAACAGCCUCAACGGCUCCAUUCCCGACAACCUCGGCUCGCUUCACGACCUCAAGGCGCUCGACCUCUCCGGAAACGCGCUCGCUGGAGAGAUCCCGGAGAGCCUGGCCAACCUCACCACCACCCUCCAGUCCUUCAACGUCUCCUACAACAACCUCUCCGGCGCCGUGCCGGCCUCGCUCCUACAGAAGUUUGGGCCCCCAUCCUUCGCAGGAAACAUCCUGCUCUGCGGCUACUCUGCUUCUUCGGCGCCCUGCCCGGUAUCGCCGUCCCCCGCGCCGGCAUCACCAGGACAAGAGCCCACCGGACCCCGCGGCGGCCGUACAAAGAAGGAGCUCAUACUGAUCAUAGGGGGGAUCGUGCUCGGCAUCCUCAUCUUGCUGUCCCUCUGCUGUCUUCUGCUCUGUUGUUUAAUAAGGAAGAAGAGGUCGAGCGGCAGCACUGGAGCACGGAGCGGGAAGCAGACGUCGAGCAAGGAAGCCGGUGCCGGUGCCGCCGCAGCGGCGGCCGGCAGAGGCGAGAAGCCGGGAACGUCGGAGGCAGAAUCCGGCGGCGACGUGGGCGGCAAGCUGGUGCAUUUCGACGGGCCGCUGGCGUUCACCGCCGACGAUCUGCUGUGCGCGACGGCGGAGAUUAUGGGGAAGAGCACGUACGGGACGGUGUACAAGGCGACGCUGGAGGACGGCAGCCUGGUAGCCGUGAAGCGGCUGAGGGAGAAGAUCACCAAGGGCCACAAGGAGUUCGAGGCCGAGGCGGCGGCGCUCGGCAAGAUCCGGCAUCCCAACCUGCUGCCUCUCAGGGCAUACUACCUUGGCCCCAAGGGGGAGAAGCUUCUCGUCUUCGACUACAUGCCCAAUGGCAGCCUCUCCGCCUUCUUGCACGCUCGCGCGCCGAACACGCCGGUGGAGUGGGCUACGCGGAUGACGAUCGCCAAGGGCACGGCACGCGGCCUGGCCUACCUCCACGACGACGCGACCAUCGUCCACGGCAACCUCACCGCCAGCAAUGUCCUUCUCGACGACGGGUCCAGCCCCAAGAUCGCCGACAUCGGGCUGUCCCGCCUCAUGACGGCCGCCGCCAACUCCAAUGUACUCGCCGCCGCGGGCGCCCUGGGCUACCGCGCGCCGGAGCUGUCCAAGCUCAAGAAGGCGAACGCCAAGACCGACAUCUACAGCCUCGGCGUCAUCAUCCUCGAGCUCCUCACCGGCAGGUCGCCCGCCGACACGACCAACGGCAUGGACCUGCCGCAGUGGGUGAGCUCCAUUGUGAAGGAAGAAUGGACGAGCGAGGUGUUCGACGUCGAGCUGAUGCGGGACGCGACCACCGGGCCGGACGGGGACGAGCUCAUGGACACGCUCAAGCUAGCGCUGCAGUGCGUCGACCCGUCGCCGUCGGCCCGGCCCGAGGCACGGGAGGUGCUGCGGCAGCUCGAGCAGAUCCGGCCUGGACAGGAGGGACUCGGCGACGAAGCUCACGUGGCUUCUGCGAGCAAUGAGUAG
This 2361-nucleotide ribosomal RNA is filed under the name Triticum aestivum (bread wheat). RNAcentral describes it as "partial small subunit ribosomal RNA". Lineage: Eukaryota; Viridiplantae; Streptophyta; Magnoliopsida; Poales; Poaceae. The record is from RNAcentral.